UAGUCGGGACCUAAGCUGAGGCCGAAAGGCGUAGGUGAUGGACAACAGGUUGAUAUUCCUGUACUACCGAUAACCGUUUGAGAGAAGGGAUGACACAGUAGGAUAAGCUAAGCACACUGUUGGUUAUGUGUGCCCAAGCAUUGAGGCAGUCAAAGUAGGCAAAUCCGCUUUGAUAAUGCUGGGAUGUGAUGGGGAGCGAAAUUUAGUAGCGAAGUAGCUGAUUUCACACUGUCAAGAAAAGUCUCUAUCGAGGGUAAAGGUACCCGUACCGCAAACCGACACAGGUGGGGGAGGAGAGUAUCCUAAGGCCAGCGAGAGAACUGUUGUUAAGGAACUCGGCAAAAUGACCCCGUAACUUAGGGAUAAGGGGUGCCACCAUCAGGUGGCCGCAGAGAAUAGGCCCAAGCGACUGUUUACCAAAAACAUAGGUUUCUGCUAAGUCGCAAGACGAUGUAUAGGAGCUGACGCCUGCCCGGUGCUGGAAGGUUAAGGGGAUCUGUUAGAGCAAUCGAAGCAGUGAACUUAAGCCCCAGUAAACGGCGGCCGUAACUAUAACGGUCCUAAGGUAGCGAAAUUCCUUGUCGGGUAAGUUCCGACCCGCACGAAAGGCGUAACGAUUUGGGCACUGUCUCA
This 633-nucleotide ribosomal RNA is filed under the name Clostridioides difficile. RNAcentral's name for it is "bacterial LSU rRNA". It matches the Rfam family "Bacterial large subunit ribosomal RNA", at positions 1381 to 2023 of the family's 2925-position model. The record is from RNAcentral. Lineage: Bacteria; Bacillati; Bacillota; Clostridia; Peptostreptococcales; Peptostreptococcaceae.